AGUGAACGCUGGCGGUAGGCCUAACACAUGCAAGUCGAACGGCAGCACAGUAAGAGCUUGCUCUUACGGGUGGCGAGUGGCGGACGGGUGAGGAAUACAUCGGAAUCUACUUUUUCGUGGGGGAUAACGUAGGGAAACUUACGCUAAUACCGCAUACGACCUACGGGUGAAAGCAGGGGAUCUUCGGACCUUGCGCGAUUGAAUGAGCCGAUGUCGGAUUAGCUAGUUGGCGGGGUAAAGGCCCACCAAGGCGACGAUCCGUAGCUGGUCUGAGAGGAUGAUCAGCCACACUGGAACUGAGACACGGUCCAGACUCCUACGGGAGGCAGCAGUGGGGAAUAUUGGACAAUGGGCGCAAGCCUGAUCCAGCCAUACCGCGUGGGUGAAGAGGGCCUUCGGUUUGUAAAGCCCUUUUGUUGGGAAAGAAAAGCAGCAGGUUAAUACCCCGCUGUUCUGACGGUACCCAAAGAAUAAGCACCGGCUAACUUCGUG
RNAcentral lists this ribosomal RNA (492 nucleotides) under uncultured bacterium. Its description in RNAcentral is "partial 16S ribosomal RNA". It matches the Rfam family "Bacterial small subunit ribosomal RNA", at positions 29 to 507 of the family's 1533-position model. The record is from RNAcentral.